RNAcentral lists this ribosomal RNA (778 nucleotides) under uncultured Neocallimastigales. RNAcentral describes it as "partial large subunit ribosomal RNA". It matches the Rfam family "Eukaryotic large subunit ribosomal RNA", at positions 23 to 637 of the family's 3401-position model. Lineage: Eukaryota; Fungi; Neocallimastigomycota; Neocallimastigomycetes; Neocallimastigales. The record is from RNAcentral.
GAGACUCUGUGCGCGUGCAUAUCAAUAAGCGGAGGAAAAGAAACUAACAAGGAUUCCCCUAGUAACGGCGAGUGAAGCGGGAAGAGCUCAAAUUUGAAAUCUUAAAGGGUUUCCCUUUACGAAUUGUAGUUUAAAGAAGUGUUUUCUGUUGGAGUUUCGGUAAAAGUUCUUUGGAAUAGGACAUCAUAGAGGGUGAGAAUCCCGUAUUUGACCGUUACUUUCCAGCUGUGUGAUACACUUUCAAAGAGUCGGAUUGUUUGGGAAUGCAGUCCAAGAUGGGUGGUAAAUUUCAUCUAAAGCUAAGUAUUGGCGAGAGACCGAUAGCGAACAAGUACCGUGAGGGAAAGAUGAAAAGAACUUUGAAAAGAGAGUUAAACAGUACGUGAAAUUGUCAAAAGGGAAGCGUUUGACACCAGUGUUGUUUAGUUGAAAAUCAAUUCAAUAUUUUUCGAUUCUAAGUAGUAUUGACUUCAUCAGCUUGCUGCUUUCUUCUCAGGAAAUUAUUUAAUGCACUUUUCAGUUAACAAGUCAACAUCAAUUUCUUUUGUUGUAAAAGGGUAAGAGGAAGGUGGCUUGCGCUUCGGCUCAAGUGUUUAUAGUCCUUUUAUCCUCUGCAAUCGGAGAGAUUGAGGUCUGCAGCGUAGAUCCUUCGGGGUUAGAUACAUUGGUGCUAAGCUAUAGCCUUGUAUAGACAACUUGUUGACUAUGCUCAGUCAUGUAGCUUACUCGCUUGAUGCUAUUUUACCUACGCUUAGGAUGUUGACAGCAGUAUAGACUG